RNAcentral lists this ribosomal RNA (777 nucleotides) under Triticum aestivum (bread wheat). RNAcentral describes it as "partial small subunit ribosomal RNA". Lineage: Eukaryota; Viridiplantae; Streptophyta; Magnoliopsida; Poales; Poaceae. The record is from RNAcentral.
AUGCUUAAAAUUGAUUUAGCCAAAACUUUCGAUAGACUUGAAUGGAACUACAUUAUGCAAGCUCUCUCACGAAAAAGGCUUCAUGGUCAUUUCAUCAAUUUGAUUUAUGCAUGCAUUACGGUUCCUUCUUUUUGUGUUACCAUUAAUGGCCAAUCUUAUGGUCGCUUCCAGAGUUGCAGGGGGAUUAGACAAGGAUGUCCUUUAUUUCCUUACUUGUUUGUUUUAGCAAUUAACGAGCUUUCUAUAUCCCUCCAAGAGGCUAUGUGCUCAAAUCAUUUGGCAGGUAUAUCUUUAGGCACUGGUUGUCCUCCCAUUCACUCACUCAUGUUUGCAGAUGAUUUAUUAAUUUGUGGUCAAGCCUCAAUUACUGAAGCUACUCACAUGCUCCAUAUUCUUCAAAGAUUCUGCAACCUAUCAGGUCAAACUCCUAACUGGAAUAAAUCAGGUAUCAUUUUCAGCGCAAAUGUUAGUGCUUGCAUUAAGGAUGACAUCAAAAGAAUUUUUCCUGUUAUGGACAUCGAUGCUAAUUCAGUUCACCUUGGGCACCCUUUAAUCCUACCAGCCAAGGAUAGAUUUGCUGCUUAUAAUUUCGUGGCUGACAAAUUUCGUAACAAACUUAGUGGUUACAAGGCCAAUAAACUCUCUCAUGCAGUCAGAUUAACGCUUAUUAAUUCUGUCUUUGCUUCCAUCCCCAUAUAUUACAUGUCUAACAUAUUAUUCUCUAGGAAGUUGAUUGCAAAGCUCACGGCCAUUAUUAGGAAUUUUUGGUGGACAUGA